UACGUAGGGUGCAAGCGUUAAUCGGAAUUACUGGGCGUAAAGCGUGCGCAGGCGGUUUUGUAAGUCUGUCGUGAAAUCCCCGGGCUCAACCUGGGAAUUGCGAUGGAGACUGCAAGGCUAGAAUCUGGCAGAGGGGGGUAGAAUUCCACGUGUAGCAGUGAAAUGCGUAGAGAUGUGGAGGAACACCGAUGGCGAAGGCAGCCCCCUGGGUCAAGAUUGACGCUCAUGCACGAAAGCGUGGGGGAGCAAACAGGAUUA
This 258-nucleotide ribosomal RNA is filed under the name uncultured bacterium. RNAcentral describes it as "partial 16S ribosomal RNA". It matches the Rfam family "Bacterial small subunit ribosomal RNA", at positions 524 to 780 of the family's 1533-position model. The record is from RNAcentral.